This 490-nucleotide ribosomal RNA is filed under the name uncultured bacterium. Its description in RNAcentral is "partial 16S ribosomal RNA". It matches the Rfam family "Bacterial small subunit ribosomal RNA", at positions 28 to 507 of the family's 1533-position model. The record is from RNAcentral.
GAUGAACGCUAGCUACAGGCUUAACACAUGCAAGUCGCGGGGCAGCAUGGGGGUUGCUUGCAAUCCCCGAUGGCGACCGGCGCACGGGUGAGUAACGCGUAUCCAACCUGCCCUUCACCACGGGAUGACCCGGCGAAAGUCGGACUAAUACCGUAUGUUGUCCAUUGACGGCAUCCGAUUUGGACGAAAGGCUUGGCGGUGAGGGAUGGGGAUGCGUCCGAUUAGCCAGACGGCGGGGUAACGGCCCACCGUGGCUACGAUCGGUAGGGGUUCUGAGAGGAAGGUCCCCCACACUGGAACUGAGACACGGUCCAGACUCCUACGGGAGGCAGCAGUGAGGAAUAUUGGUCAAUGGGCGUAAGCCUGAACCAGCCAAGUAGCGUGCAGGAUGACGGCCCUAUGGGUUGUAAACUGCUUUUAUGCGGGGAUAAAGUGGCCCACGUGUGGGCUUUUGCAGGUACCGCAUGAAUAAGGACCGGCUAAUUCCGUG